RNAcentral lists this ribosomal RNA (498 nucleotides) under uncultured bacterium. Its description in RNAcentral is "bacterial SSU rRNA". It matches the Rfam family "Bacterial small subunit ribosomal RNA", at positions 28 to 521 of the family's 1533-position model. The record is from RNAcentral.
GAUGAACGCUAGCGGCAGGCCUAAUACAUGCAAGUCGAGGGGCAGCGGGAGUAGCAAUACUUGCCGGCGACCGGCGCACGGGUGCGUAACACGUAUGCAAUCUACCCGUUACUUGAGGAUAGCCCGGAGAAAUCCGGAUUAAGACUCAAUGAUAAUAUGGAGUGGCAUCACUUUAUAUUUAAAGAUUUAUCGGUAACGGAAGAGCAUGCGGUCGAUUAGCUAGUUGGUGAGGUAAUGGCUCACCAAGGCCACGAUCGAUAGGGGACCUGAGAGGGUGACUCCCCCACACUGGUACUGAGAUACGGACCAGACUCCUACGGGAGGCAGCAGUAGGGAAUAUUGGGCAAUGGGCGAGAGCCUGACCCAGCCAUGCCGCGUGCAGGAAGAAGGCCUUCUGGGUUGUAAACUGCUUUUGAACGGGAACAAAGAGCCCCUGCGGGGGAAGAAGAGUGUACCGUUAGAAUAAGCACCGGCUAACUCCGUGCCAGCAGCCGCGGU